CUUGAUCCACAUAGGUAUCACCUCCACGCCAUGGCUUCACAGCAUCAUCAUCCUCCACUGGCCGUCUCCUGAUGCCAGGGUUUCAGGACAUUUAUCUCAAUAAAGAAAUCACCUCCAGGGGGAGCAUCUGUCUGGAAUCUCACCGUCUCUAGAUUUUUGGACCCUUUGUACAGAACUCCUGCUGAUGAUGACACAGAUUAUAUUACUCUAAUUGACCUUUGGUUGGUUGGAUUGACCGUCGUUGAGCUGCGUUGUUUUUUGUUCUCUUACUGUUUGCAGGCCCUUAUUUCUUGACUGACCUUUUGUUCAAUCGACUGUGAUUCAUCUUCUCUUACAGAAUGAAGUGCCUUCAUUACUGUGCUGGUUUUAUUGUGUCUGGCUGUGGGUGGGGGUGCACAACUUUUUAUUCUGAGUAUUAACUGUAUACCUGAAAUCUUUCAGUGGCAGAAAUUAAAAUCUUUCAACAUUAACCUGGGAGAAUUAAGAAUUAUUACUCUCCCUCAUUAAACUCCAAUGGUGUUUUUUUUUCUUAUUCCUUUCAGUUAUGCAAUGUUUAAUGGUCAAAUUUACCAAAGAGUUUUACAAUUGGAUGUGAUUUGUUGUUAAAUGACAUCGUAAUGACAUGUAAAUUGAUCCUAUUUUUUUUCUUUGUUUUAACGUCACAGUCCGACGGCGGCUGUUGAACAUCGGAGUCAAAUAUAACGAUUAGCUUAGAGGAUGUGAAACUACGUAUUUACUGGGGUAGAGUGGGAUCGUGGUGCAUUGUUGUAAAGGAUGCUGUUCAAAUCGUACUGUAAAACAUUAUUAAUAAAAGUUGCAGGUUUGCACACUGUCA
Molecule: long non-coding RNA, 835 nt
Organism: Cynoglossus semilaevis (tongue sole)
Lineage: Eukaryota; Metazoa; Chordata; Actinopteri; Pleuronectiformes; Cynoglossidae
Exons: 2
Source: RefSeq, a predicted model, not a curated record